RNAcentral lists this ribosomal RNA (1373 nucleotides) under uncultured bacterium. RNAcentral's name for it is "bacterial SSU rRNA". It matches the Rfam family "Bacterial small subunit ribosomal RNA", at positions 28 to 1381 of the family's 1533-position model. The record is from RNAcentral.
GAUGAACGCUGGCGGCGUGCCUAAUACAUGCAAGUCGAGCGAACGGACGAGAAGCUUGCUUCUCUGAUGUUAGCGGCGGACGGGUGAGUAACACGUGGAUAACCUACCUAUAAGACUGGGAUAACUUCGGGAAACCGGAGCUAAUACCGGAUAAUAUUUUGAACCGCAUGGUUCAAAAGUGAAUGACGGUCUUGCUGUCACUUAUAGAUGGAUCCGCGCUGCAUUAGCUAGUUGGUAAGGUAACGGCUUACCAAGGCAACGAUGCAUAGCCGACCUGAGAGGGUGAUCGGCCACACUGGAACUGAGACACGGUCCAGACUCCUACGGGAGGCAGCAGUAGGGAAUCUUCCGCAAUGGGCGAAAGCCUGACGGAGCAACGCCGCGUGAGUGAUGAAGGUCUUCGGAUCGUAAAACUCUGUUAUUAGGGAAGAACAUAUGUGUAAGUAACUGUGCACAUCUUGACGGUACCUAAUCAGAAAGCCACGGCUAACUACGUGCCAGCAGCCGCGGUAAUACGUAGGUGGCAAGCGUUAUCCGGAAUUAUUGGGCGUAAAGCGCGCGUAGGCGGUUUUUUAAGUCUGAUGUGAAAGCCCACGGCUCAACCGUGGAGGGUCAUUGGAAACUGGAAAACUUGAGUGCAGAAGAGGAAAGUGGAAUUCCAUGUGUAGCGGUGAAAUGCGCAGAGAUAUGGAGGAACACCAGUGGCGAAGGCGACUUUCUGGUCUGUAACUGACGCUGAUGUGCGAAAGCGUGGGGAUCAAACAGGAUUAGAUACCCUGGUAGUCCACGCCGUAAACGAUGAGUGCUAAGUGUUAGGGGGUUUCCGCCCCUUAGUGCUGCAGCUAACGCAUUAAGCACUCCGCCUGGGGAGUACGACCGCAAGGUUGAAACUCAAAGGAAUUGACGGGGACCCGCACAAGCGGUGGAGCAUGUGGUUUAAUUCGAAGCAACGCGAAGAACCUUACCAAAUCUUGACAUCCUUUGACAACUCUAGAGAUAGAGCCUUCCCCUUCGGGGGGGCAAAGUGACAGGUGGUGCAUGGUUGUCGUCAGCUCGUGUCGUGAGAUGCUGGGUUAAGUCCCGCAACGAGCGCAACCCUUAAGCUUAGUUGCCAUCAUUAAGUUGGGCACUCUAAGUUGACUGCCGGUGACAAACCGGAGGAAGGUGGGGAUGACGUCAAAUCAUCAUGCCCCUUAUGAUUUGGGCUACACACGUGCUACAAUGGACAAUACAAAGGGCAGCGAAACCGCGAGGUCAAGCAAAUCCCAUAAAGUUGUUCUCAGUUCGGAUUGUAGUCUGCAACUCGACUACAUGAAGCUGGAAUCGCUAGUAAUCGUAGAUCAGCAUGCUACGGUGAAUACGUUCCCGGGUCU